Molecule: long non-coding RNA, 830 nt
Filed under: Panax ginseng (ginseng)
Lineage: Eukaryota; Viridiplantae; Streptophyta; Magnoliopsida; Apiales; Araliaceae
Description: long non-coding RNA (PGIN_LNC016276)
Source: RNAcentral
CUAAUCAUAUUUCUUGAAUCAGACACAGGAAGAAAACGAGUGCGCCUAUGGUGGGUGUGAUGAAAGGGAAAGACAAGAUGAGAGAGAAAACACCCCAGAAAUUCUCCCUACCAUCCAUACAAUCCAUCUGGGUAACCGGUUUUAGUUCUAACAUUCAUUUCCUUGAUUUGGAUUUCUCUUUGGUGAAAUUUGUGUCCAAUUUGGAUCUGAGAAUUGGGUUUUUGUGAUUUUUAAAUUUUUAUAAUUUGGGCAUCGUCUCGAUCAAUUGUUUUUGUUGUUAUAAGAAAUGGGUAUCUGUAUGUUGUUCUUAUACUGUAACUUUGGUCGGUUUUUACUUCAUGCAGCUGUUAUUUUUCAUGUACGGUUCUUGAAUCUGAUUGUGAUUUCUUCUAAGUUGUGAAUUGAUGUUUGGUCAAUUAUGUGAAAAUGGUGGUCUUGUUUUUAUGCAGAUAAUUGGAAAUUACUCAUUCCAAAGAAUACAAGUGUUGUGGGUUUGUGGGUUUUGCGUCUAGAUCUUGUUACCAUUUUUCUUGUAGGGAAUUAAGAAAACCCCUCUUCACUUGCUUCAGAUAAAAUGAUGAAUUGAGUCGGCGUUUGGCGGUACUAAGGACAGAGAUGAAGGCAUUGACGGAAUAAGCUAAAUAAUGGGCGAUUUGCUGGAACUUCAAGACGUAUAGAUCUAGAAUCCUCAUAUAUCUAGAUCUGUUCUGAAUUUUUUUAUUUUUUUUACUUUUAAUCCUCAUAUUUUUGUCUUUUUUUUAAGGAAAAUAUGUUUGAUUUUUUAAUUGAUUAAGAUUUGAUUUAUCUUGAUAAAUAAAUUUAAUUUAAUG